GCUUACGACCACACCGGCCUGAGUACGCCUGAUCUCGGAAGCUAAGCAGGGUCGGGCCUGGUUAGUACUUGGAUGGGAGACUUCCUGGGAAUACCAGGUGAUGUAAGCU
Oncorhynchus tshawytscha (Chinook salmon) is the source of this 109-nucleotide ribosomal RNA. The record is from Ensembl. Lineage: Eukaryota; Metazoa; Chordata; Actinopteri; Salmoniformes; Salmonidae.